Long non-coding RNA from Etheostoma spectabile (orangethroat darter), 140 nucleotides. RefSeq lists it as uncharacterized. The record is from RefSeq and is a predicted model, not a curated record. Lineage: Eukaryota; Metazoa; Chordata; Actinopteri; Perciformes; Percidae. The transcript is spliced from 3 exons.
ACCAGACUCUAGCCCUGUAGCCUGGUCCUACCAGACUCUGAUCCAUUAGCUUGGUCCUACCGGACUCUCGUCCCUUAGCCCGGUCCUACCAGACUCUGUACAUUAGCCCGGUCUUACCCGACUCUGGUCCAUUAGCCCGG